Molecule: ribosomal RNA, 461 nt
Filed under: uncultured bacterium
Lineage: Bacteria
Description: partial 16S ribosomal RNA
Rfam family: Bacterial small subunit ribosomal RNA
Source: RNAcentral
CCUACGGGAGGCAGCAGUGAGGAAUAUUGGUCAAUGGGCUUACGCCUGAACCAGCCAAGUCGCGUGAGGGAAGACUGCCCUAUGGGUUGUAAACCUCUUUUGUCAGGGAGCAACGCCGGCUACGUGUAGCCGGACUGAGAGUACCUGAAGAAAAAGCAUCGGCUAACUCCGUGCCAGCAGCCGCGGUAAUACGGAGGAUGCGAGCGUUAUCCGGAUUUACUGGGUUUAAAGGGAGCGUAGACGGUUAUGUAAGUCUGGAGUUAAAGCCCGGGGCCCAACCCCGGGACCGCUUUGGAAAUUGUCGAUCUGGAGUACAGGAGGGGCAGGCGGAAUUCCUGGUGUAGCGGUGAAAUGCGUAGAUAUCAGGAGGAACACCGGCGGCGAAGGCGGCCUGCUGGACUCAAACUGACGUUGAGGCUCGAAAGCGUGGGGAGCAAACAGGAUUAGAUACCCGGGUAGUC